This is a small nuclear RNA of Talpa occidentalis (Iberian mole), 185 nucleotides long. RefSeq annotates it as U2 spliceosomal RNA. Lineage: Eukaryota; Metazoa; Chordata; Mammalia; Eulipotyphla; Talpidae. The transcript has a single exon. The record is from RefSeq and is a predicted model, not a curated record.
AUUGCUUCUUGGCCUUUUGGCUAAGAUCAAGUGUGUUACCUGUUCUAAAUAUUUUUUCAGUUGUUUGUCUUUGCUUAUGGAAACUUUUGCUUUGCAGGGUUUUAAAAAAAUGCAAUCAUUUAAAAUCUUUUAUGGUGUUUGGGUUUUGUGCCGUACUUACAAAGACCUUCUCCACUAUAACAUUA